Triticum aestivum (bread wheat) is the source of this 125-nucleotide non-coding RNA. The record is from Rfam. Lineage: Eukaryota; Viridiplantae; Streptophyta; Magnoliopsida; Poales; Poaceae.
GUUAUAUUCUCUCCGUCCUGAAAUAUUUGUUGAAAGAAUGCAUAAAAAUGAAUGUAUGUAGAACUAAAAUAUGUCUAGAUAUAUUCAUUCCUCCGACAAAUAUUUUCGAACGGAGGAAGUAUUUA